This 207-nucleotide ribosomal RNA is filed under the name uncultured Gammaproteobacteria bacterium. RNAcentral describes it as "uncultured gamma proteobacterium partial 16S ribosomal RNA". It matches the Rfam family "Bacterial small subunit ribosomal RNA", at positions 568 to 774 of the family's 1533-position model. The record is from RNAcentral. Lineage: Bacteria; Pseudomonadati; Pseudomonadota; Gammaproteobacteria.
CGCGUAGGUGGUUCAGUAAGAUGGGAGUGAAAUCCCCGGGCUCAACCUGGGAACUGCUUUCAUAACUGCUGGGCUAGAGUACGGUAGAGGGUAGUGGAAUUUCCUGUGUAGCGGUGAAAUGCGUAGAUAUAGGAAGGAACACCAGUGGCGAAGGCGACUACCUGGACUGGUACUGACACUGAGGUGCGAAAGCGUGGGGAGCAAACA